ACNNNNNNUGNNUAGGCCGACGCUGGCGGCGUGCUUAACACAUGCAAGUCGAACGGAGUAUUCACAAAAGAGGUUUCGGCCAAUGGAGUGAACUACUUAGUGGCGGACUGGUGAGUAACGCGUGAGGAACCUGCCUUUCAGUGGGGGACAACAGUUGGAAACGACUGCUAAUACCGCAUGAAGCAUUUGGGGGACAUCCCUUGAAUGUCAAAGAUUUAUCGCUGAAAGAUGGCCUCGCGUCUGAUUAGCUAGUUGGUGAGGUAACGGCCCACCAAGGCGACGAUCAGUAGCCGGACUGAGAGGUUGACCGGCCCACAUUGGGGACUGAGAUACGGCCCCCAACUUCCUACGGGAGGCAGCAGUGGGGGGAUAUUUGGGCCAAUGGACGAAAGUCUGACCCCAGCAACCGCCCCCGUGGAGGAAGAAAGGCUUUUCGGUUGGUAAACUUUCUUUUAAGGGGGGAAAGAGUAAAAAACCGGUACCCCCUUGGAAUAAGCCCACCGGCUAACUAACGUGCCCACCAGCCCCCGGUAAUACCUAAGGUGGCAAGCGUUGUUCCGGAUUUACUGGGUGUAAAAGGCGUGCAGCCCGGAAAGGAAAUCACAAGUGAAAUUUGGAGGGUCAACCUCCCAACUGCAUUUUAAAAUGCUUUUUCUUGAGUAUCCGAAAAGAAUCCGAAUUCCCUGUGUAGCGGUGAAAUGCGUAGUAUAAAGAAAAAAAACCCCUGGCGAAAGGGGAUUUACUGGACGACCACUGACGGUGAGGCGCGAAACCUGGGGAAGCAAACAAGAAUAAGAUACCCUGGGAAUCCACCCUGUAAACGAUCAAUACUAAGUGUGCCGGGGACUGACCCCCCUGNNNGCCCCAGUUAACAACAAAAAGAAUUGCACCUCGGNNGUACGAUNNCCAAGGUGAAAUCCAAGANUUGACGNNNCCCCCCNNAACC
RNAcentral lists this ribosomal RNA (946 nucleotides) under uncultured Clostridium sp. Its description in RNAcentral is "partial 16S ribosomal RNA". It matches the Rfam family "Bacterial small subunit ribosomal RNA", at positions 1 to 930 of the family's 1533-position model. Lineage: Bacteria; Bacillati; Bacillota; Clostridia; Eubacteriales; Clostridiaceae. The record is from RNAcentral.